AGGUGGGGGACAACCUUGGGAAACUGAGGCUAAUACCGCAUAUGAGCUGAGGCUCAAAGCAGCGAUGCGCCUUUGGAGUAGCCUGCGUCCGAUUAGCUAGUUGGUGGGGUAAAGGCCUACCAAGGCGACGAUCGGUAGCUGGUCUGAGAGGACGACCAGCCACACUGGGACUGAGACACGGCCCAGACUCCUACGGGAGGCAGCAGUGGGGAAUAUUGGACAAUGGGCGCAAGCCUGAUCCAGCAAUGCCGCGUGUGUGAAGAAGGUCUUCGGAUCGUAAAGCACUUUCGACGGGGACGAUGAUGACGGUACCCGUAGAAGAAGCCCCGGCUAACUUCGUGCCAGCAGCCGCGGUAAUACGAAGGGGGCUAGCGUUACUCGGAAUUACUGGGCGUAAAGGGCGCGUAGGCGGCGCUCCAAGUUAGGCGUGAAAGUCCUGGGCUCAACCUGGGAACUGCGCUUAAGACUGGAGUGCUUGAGGAUGGAAGAGGGUCGUGGAAUUCCCAGUGUAGAGGUGAAAUUCGUAGAUAUUGGGAAGAACACCGGUGGCGAAGGCGGCGACCUGGUCCAUUACUGACGCUGAGGCGCGACAGCGUGG
Molecule: ribosomal RNA, 598 nt
Filed under: uncultured Alphaproteobacteria bacterium
Lineage: Bacteria; Pseudomonadati; Pseudomonadota; Alphaproteobacteria
Description: bacterial SSU rRNA
Rfam family: Bacterial small subunit ribosomal RNA
Source: RNAcentral